UCAUGCGCUCUUUGGUUGAAGCCCUCUGUCUUUCUCCAAUCGAGUAAGAUUCGUAUUUCCCUUUUGUGGAGUCGAAUAUCCAUCCUGAAAAAAAAAAAAAAAAAAAAUCAAGUCUGCUUUUCUAGCUGUCUUCAGGAUGAUGAGUGUUUUGGAACACACACCAAUUCACGCCUUGGUCAGUCACCUGUUAUAUGCCUACAACCCGGUAUC
Molecule: long non-coding RNA, 210 nt
Filed under: Lathyrus oleraceus (garden pea)
Lineage: Eukaryota; Viridiplantae; Streptophyta; Magnoliopsida; Fabales; Fabaceae
Description: Pisum sativum (pea) long non-coding RNA (PSAT_LNC002584)
Source: RNAcentral